AAAUCGACGGGUGCUACGUGAGUCAAAAACUAGGUGAAAGUAACGUCUGGUAGUGAGUAACUUUGCUAGAAAUACUGAGCAAAACCAGAAACGACAUUUGUGAAGUGGAAGAAGGAAACCGGGGGCCCGUGAGAAAGGAGUUUAUCGAAUUUGGCAGCGUCUUGGUUUGUUGCCAAAAAUCCGGCUUUCUGUAUGAACCUGAAACAUACUAACACCCAUGUGGACAGUGUGUAUGCAAAAGCAACAGAGGAAAUAGCAGGAAAAAAACAAACGUUGUUUGGCCUAACAAGAACCACCCAGUGUUGUGUUCAUACGAUACUGCGGGCUCGACUCUGCCCGUGUCGGGUCUUCUCUGGCUCGGAGCAGUAAGAGAAGCUGUUGAGGAGGCUUGCAGACAGUUGGGCCGUGCUCUGGAGGUGAAGGGCUCCCACCAAGCAGGCCAGAUGUGCUGAUAUGCAGGAGAGCUGCAGCGCACACAGCGAAGAGCAACUGAUAAGGAAACCUCCUGUGUGUGGCCCUUAACACAAGGACAGAAUGGAGGCUUAUCAGACUGCCCUGAUGACGAUCCAACACUGCUCCACCAGCAGCAGAGAUCUUACUGUGGCCCAGCUUUUCUGCUCCAGGUGGUCUGCAGCCAGCCACCUGUGUUGUCUUUGUGACGCUGUCAUCUGUCUCCGGGCAGGCUUUGUGGGGUUGCCAGUGUGAGGACAGGCCUGGUGAGCGCCGAUGAUGGAGAUAGUGCUUUCUGCCGCUGCUUCUCCCAGACUCUCACAGGACUCCAGUGUUGCCGGACACAAGGAGCAAUGUUUACACCCCUAGCCCUCUAGGUCCCAAAGAGGAAUCCUGGGAAAAUGUUUUUUACUGGUCUACAUGUCUGAGUGUUUGUGGAGUGGUGUUUGUAAGAUGGUAGGAGUUAAAGAUGUAGAACAGCGGGUAGAGAGAGGAGCUGACAGGAGCCUUGACUAAGAGUUUAAUGAAUGUACAGCAUUACAUCACAUCUUUCAAGUGUCAUUCCUUCAUACGGUCACGCCGUUACGUGCCAUGCAUGAUUAGAUAGAUAGAUUGUAUAGACAUUUUGAGGGUUUCAUAUGAUAUCAGUCAUUUUUCUGUGUGUAUAAGUAUAUAUUAUACCGUAUAUAUUUUUGUUUUCUUUGCAAAAUAACAAGAUCCGUAAAAAAAAUAUAAUCUGACCCAGAAAUUAGAGACACAAAGGAUCACACUAGGGGCAGUUUCUAGCCCCAAACAACUGCAUUUUUCUUAAUCUCCAACAUGCAGCUAUGGCACCUUUUCGUCUUUCUACCGCAAAAUCUGAAAUUCUCAUCUCAUCUGAUAAAAAGAUGCUCUUGAUGGGUUUGAUUAGAUGUUGUGUACAUAAUAUUUAGGGCAAUAUUGAGUGUCACUCUGCCCACCAGAAAAAAUGGAAAAAUAGAAUAUUAUUAUGGAUCUUACAUGUUUAAAGAGCUUUUUAACCUCACAAAAACAGAACAGCAACAGCAAUUUAUAUUAUAUAUUUUAAAAUGUAUUAUUAUUUUUUUACUAGAAACAUCUGGUGGGCUAAAUCAAACCUUAUGGCGGGCUAACCUCAGCCUACAGGCCCCACUAUAGACGACCCUGUUCUAAACAGUUGGUAUUCUUGCUGGACCAAAUAACUUUAAUGUUGAAUUACUUAUCAUAAUUAUUACUGUUUUUUGGGGUUUUUUUUGCCAGUUGGCUUAACGAUAAAUCAAAUAAUCAUUUCAUCUCUGUACAUUUUUCCGCAGUAUUUUCGAGUUCCUAUCGGUCAAAAUGUGACAUAUAAGAAUGUCGCAUGAGCUAUUUAAGAAGUUGGGGAAAAAAUCCUUUCAAAUAGGCCACAGAAAGGUCAUUUCUUUUAUUUAACUCUUGUAGGAAUUUAAAAAGAAAUUUAAUUUUAUUUAUAGAAUUCAUAGCUUUAUAAUACCAUCAAUUAUGUGAAUCUAUACACAGCCCAGUCAACAUAAAAGUUGCCCAAAUAUUAUGGUACCAAACUGUGUGAGCUAUUUUUAAGGAAGACUUUUAAGAAAAUAUUCAAUAAAUAAACAAAAUAAAUUGAUGACUGCUUGGAAAUCACAGUUGAGGCACUUCUUUAUUUGCCAUUACACCAGUGGAUAUGCUCAACAUCCCUGGACACCGCUCCAUAUUCAGAGUUUUAUUUACUCCUCAUCCGGAGGGGAGAGUGUUGAUAAAUGACGGCGCUGCGCCCUGGGACUCUCCUGUUUAAGGAGCGCCGAGGCGAUUUAUGAGCGUGCUCUCGCAGGCUUCACUGUGAUUAAUCGACGCCGUCCUCCGCGGCCACAG
Long non-coding RNA from Plectropomus leopardus (leopard coralgrouper), 2316 nucleotides. RefSeq lists it as uncharacterized. The record is from RefSeq and is a predicted model, not a curated record. NCBI's taxonomy places the organism in Eukaryota, Metazoa, Chordata, Actinopteri, Perciformes, Serranidae.